ACAAUGGAGAGUUUGAUCCUGGCUCAGGAUGAACGCUAGCGGCAGGCUUAAUACAUGCAAGGCGAGGGGGCAGCAAUGUCACCGUCGUACG
This 91-nucleotide ribosomal RNA is filed under the name Dyadobacter arcticus. RNAcentral describes it as "partial 16S ribosomal RNA". It matches the Rfam family "Bacterial small subunit ribosomal RNA", at positions 1 to 104 of the family's 1533-position model. Lineage: Bacteria; Pseudomonadati; Bacteroidota; Cytophagia; Cytophagales; Spirosomataceae. The record is from RNAcentral.